CCCGGGGGGGAGGCAGCCGCGGUAAUACGUAGGGUGCAAGCGUUAUCCGGAAUUAUUGGGCGUAAAGGGCUCGUAGGCGGUUCGUCGCGUCCGGUGUGAAAGUCCAUCGCUUAACGGUGGAUCCGCGCCGGGUACGGGCGGGCUUGAGUGCGGUAGGGGAGACUGGAAUUCCCGGUGUAACGGUGGAAUGUGUAGAUAUCGGGAAGAACACCAAUGGCGAAGGCAGGUCUCUGGGCCGUUACUGACGCUGAGGAGCGAAAGCGUGGGGAGCGAACAGGAUUAGAUACCCUGGUAGUCCACGCCGUAAACGGUGGAUGCUGGAUGUGGGGCCCGUUCCACGGGUUCCGUGUCGGAGCUAACGCGUUAAGCAUCCCGCCUGGGGAGUACGGCCGCAAGGCUAAAACUCAAAGAAAUUGACGGGGGCCCGCACAAGCGGCGGAGCAUGCGGAUUAAUUCGAUGCAACGCGAAGAACCUUACCUGGGCUUGACAUGUUCCCGACGAUCCCAGAGAUGGGGUUUCCCUUCGGGGCGGGUUCACAGGUGGUGCAUGGUCGUCGUCAGCUCGUGUCGUGAGAUGUUGGGUUAAGUCCCGCAACGAGCGCAACCCUCGCCCCGUGUUGCCAGCGGAUUGUGCCGGGAACUCACGGGGGACCGCCGGGGUUAACUCGGAGGAAGGUGGGGAUGACGUCAGAUCAUCAUGCCCCUUACGUCCAGGGCUUCACGCAUGCUACAAUGGCCGGUACAACGGGAUGCGACAGCGCGAGCUGGAGCGGAUCCCUGAAAACCGGUCUCAGUUCGGAUCGCAGUCUGCAACUCGACUGCGUGAAGGCGGAGUCGCUAGUAAUCGCGAAUCAGCAACGUCGCGGGAAUGCGUGCCGGACCCUU
Molecule: ribosomal RNA, 885 nt
Filed under: Bifidobacterium breve
Lineage: Bacteria; Bacillati; Actinomycetota; Actinomycetes; Bifidobacteriales; Bifidobacteriaceae
Description: bacterial SSU rRNA
Rfam family: Bacterial small subunit ribosomal RNA
Source: RNAcentral